This 435-nucleotide ribosomal RNA is filed under the name uncultured bacterium. RNAcentral describes it as "partial 16S ribosomal RNA". It matches the Rfam family "Bacterial small subunit ribosomal RNA", at positions 29 to 507 of the family's 1533-position model. The record is from RNAcentral.
AACGAACGCUGGCGGCAUGCCUAACACAUGCAAGUCGAACGGGUACCUUCGGGUGCUAGUGGCGCACGGGUGCGUAACGCGUGGGAAUCUGCCCUUGGGUUCGGAAUAACUCAGCGAAAGCUGUGCUAAUACCGGAUGAUGUCGAAAGACCAAAGAUUUAUCGCCCGAGGAUGAGCCCGCGUUGGAUUAGCUAGUUGGUGGGGUAAAGGCCUACCAAGGCGACGAUCCAUAGCUGGUCUGAGAGGAUGAUCAGCCACACUGGGACUGAGACACGGCCCAGACUCCUACGGGAGGCAGCAGUGGGGAAUAUUGGACAAUGGGCGAAAGCCUGAUCCAGCAAUGCCGCGUGAGUGAUGAAGGCCUUAGGGUUGUAAAGCUCUUUUACCCGGGAUGAUAAUGACAGUACCGGGAGAAUAAGCACCGGCUAACUCCGUG